GGUUGGUUGAUGUAAUAGUAACAUAACAGACUCAUGAUUUGUCUAUGAAAGUGCAAAUCUUUCGCCCACCU
This 71-nucleotide transfer RNA is filed under the name Gomphillus americanus. Its description in RNAcentral is "tRNA-Met". It matches the Rfam family "tRNA". Rfam says of the family: Transfer RNA (tRNA) molecules are approximately 80 nucleotides in length. Lineage: Eukaryota; Fungi; Ascomycota; Lecanoromycetes; Ostropales; Graphidaceae. The record is from RNAcentral.